GACGAACGCUGGCGGCGUGCUUAACACAUGCCAGUCGAACGGAAAGGCCCUGCUUUUGUGGGGUGCUCGAGUGGCGAACGGGUGAGUAACACGUGAGUAACCUGCCCUUGACUUUGGGAUAACUUCAGGAAACUGGGGCUAAUACCGGAUAGGAGCUCCUGCUGCAUGGUGGGGGUUGGAAAGUUUCGGCGGUUGGGGAUGGACUCGCGGCUUAUCAGCUUGUUGGUGGGGUAGUGGCUUACCAAGGCUUUGACGGGUAGCCGGCCUGAGAGGGUGACCGGCCACAUUGGGACUGAGGUACGGCCCAGACGCCUACGGGAGGCAGCAGUGGGGAAUAUUGCACAAUGGGCGGAAGCCUGAUGCAGCAACGCCGCGUGCGGGAUGACGGCCUUCGGGUUGUAAACCGCUUUCGCCUGUGACGAAGCGUGAGUGACGGUAAUGGGUAAAGAAGCACCGGCUAACUACGUG
Molecule: ribosomal RNA, 468 nt
Filed under: uncultured bacterium
Lineage: Bacteria
Description: partial 16S ribosomal RNA
Rfam family: Bacterial small subunit ribosomal RNA
Source: RNAcentral